GACGAACGCUGGCGGCGUGCUUAAUACAUGCAAGUCGAACGGAAAGGCCCUGCUUUUGCUGGGCGCUCGAGUGGCGAACGGGUGAGUAACACGCGAGUAUCCUCUCCUUGACUUUGGGAUAACUUCACGAAACUGGGGCUAAUACCGCAGAGGAGCUCCUGCUGCACGGUGGGCGUUGGAAAGUUUCGGCGGUUGUGUAUGGACUGGCGGCUUACCAGCUUGUUGGUGAAGUAGUGGCUUACCAAGUCUUUGACGGCUAGCCGGCCUGAGAGGGUAACCGGCCACAUGGGGACUGAGAUACGGCCCAGACUCCUACGGGAGGCAGCAGGGGGGAAUAUUGCACAAUGGGCGGAAGCCAGUUGCAGCAACGCCGCGUGCGGGAUGACGGCCUUCGGGGUGUGAACCACUUUCUCCUGUGACGAGGCGUUAGUGACGGUAAUUGGUAAAGAAGCACCGGCUAACUACGUG
Molecule: ribosomal RNA, 468 nt
Filed under: uncultured bacterium
Lineage: Bacteria
Description: partial 16S ribosomal RNA
Rfam family: Bacterial small subunit ribosomal RNA
Source: RNAcentral